RNAcentral lists this non-coding RNA (23 nucleotides) under Arabidopsis thaliana (thale cress). The record is from RNAcentral. Lineage: Eukaryota; Viridiplantae; Streptophyta; Magnoliopsida; Brassicales; Brassicaceae.
GAACAACACGUUGUGAUGAUUGC